Molecule: ribosomal RNA, 570 nt
Filed under: uncultured bacterium
Lineage: Bacteria
Description: partial 16S ribosomal RNA
Rfam family: Bacterial small subunit ribosomal RNA
Source: RNAcentral
UAGGGAAUCUUCCACAAUGGACGCAAGUCUGAUGGAGCAACGCCGCGUGAGUGAAGAAGGUUUUCGGACCGUAAAGCUCUGUUGUUGGUGAAGAAGGAUAGAGGUAGUAACUGGCCUUUAUUUGACGGUAAUCAACCAGAAAGUCACGGCUAACUACGUGCCAGCAGCCGCGGUAAUACGUAGGUGGCAAGCGUUGUCCGGAUUUAUUGGGCGUAAAGCGAGCGCAGGCGGAAGAAUAAGUCUGAUGUGAAAGCCCUCGGCUUAACCGAGGAAUUGCAUCGGAAACUGUUUUCUUGAGUGCAGAAGAGGAGAGUAGAACUCCAUGUGUAGCGGUGGAAUGCGUAGAUAUAUGGAAGAAUACCAGUGGCGAAGGCGGCUCUCUGGUCUGCAACUGACGCUGAGGCUCGAAAGCAUGGGUAGCGAACAGGAUUAGAUACCCUGGUAGUCCAUGCCGUAAACGAUGAGUGCUAAGUGUUGGGAGGCUUCCGCCUCUCAGUGCUGCAGCUAACGCAUUAAGCACUCCGCCUGGGGGAGUACGACCGCAAGGCUGAAACUCUAAAGUGAAUUGAC